RNAcentral lists this long non-coding RNA (413 nucleotides) under Capra hircus (goat). Its description in RNAcentral is "lncRNA (ENSCHIG00000006216.1)". Lineage: Eukaryota; Metazoa; Chordata; Mammalia; Artiodactyla; Bovidae. The record is from RNAcentral.
GGGGAUUGGAGCAUAAAGUGAGUCAUGCACCUGGGUCUGGGCCUGCCUUCUGCCUCCUCCCAGUUCCCGGCCCCAUUUCCUGAGUCCCCUGAGAAGCCGGCAGGACGGCGGCCCCCGCCUCCCCCUCAGCCUCUUUGCCACCUCCUGGACCACUGUUCCUGCAGUUUCUCAGGGAUUGAACCCGGGUCCUCAGCAGUGAAAGUGCCUAACCACGGGAUCUCCAGGAAAUUCCCAGCCUCUCUUUUAACGGGGCAGUCUAGCAGGGUGAGCAGUGGGGGCUGGAAAACGGAGGGCUCCUUCCAUCCUCAGUCCUGUCUUGCCCUAAAUUGUCAGGUAGACCUGCUCCCUUGAGUCCCCUGGGCCUGAAUCUUCUCCCCUUAUCUCACCCCUGGGGGCCCUGCCCCACCCCUGAG